Long non-coding RNA from Homo sapiens (human), 1869 nucleotides. Ensembl annotates it as epigenetically induced MYC interacting lncRNA 1. Its record names the gene EPIC1. NCBI's taxonomy places the organism in Eukaryota, Metazoa, Chordata, Mammalia, Primates, Hominidae. The record is from Ensembl.
AAGAAGGAAGGCUGGUGCAGAGGGUGGGUCCGGGGCACCGCAGCGGGAUUGGCCUCUGGUCGGAGGGAACUUGCGGUAGGGAAGGCAGGGGAGGGGAAGAUGUGAGUGGGUUUGUACAUGCACUGCUGUGAGAUGAGAGGGUUUGCAUUAGUCAGGGUUCUGCAGAGAAACAGAGCCAAUAGGAUACACGUACAUAGGAAGAGAUUCGUAAGGAGACACUUCGUGCAAUUCUGGAGGCUGAGAAGUCCCACGAUCUGCUGUCCGCAAGCCGGACACCCAGGAAUGCUGGCAGUGCAAGUUCCAAGACCUGAGGGCCGGGAUCCAAUGGAGUGGACGCCAGUCAGAGUCUGAAUCCCUGAGAACCAGGAGUACCAACGGCCAGAGGGAACGGAUGUCUGCCUUGGGUCAGGCAGAGAGAAUCCAAACGCCCUCCACCUUUUUGUCCUGUUCCGGCUUCCACAGAUUGGACGAGGCCCACCCACCUUGGGGAGGGGCCAGCUGCUGUGUUCAGUCCGCCAUUGCAAACACGAAGCUCUUCCAGAAACGCCCUCACAGACACCCCGGAAGUCACGUACCCACUCUGUAGGUGCCCCGGGGCACAGGCAAGCGGACGAGCCAGUUAUCCCUCAGAGCUCCUGCUGCCUCGCCCGCUUUCUCUCGGAAACGUGAAGUGUGGCCUCAGCUGAAAGUGAGGUGGGCCUCAUUCAAUCAGUUGAAUUCUUCAAGAGAGAAAAACUGAAGUCCCUUAGAAGGAAAGAGUUCUGCCUUCAGACUGUCUUUGAACUUAAGACUGUAGCGUCGACUCCUGCCGGAAUUUCCAGCCUGCUGGCCAGCUCUGCAGAUUCACACUUGCCAGCCUCCACAAUCGCAGCUGAGGCGGAGGAACCCUAAGGGCUCAUUGAGAUCAUGGAUUUGCCCUUCUAUGCAUUGAUGGAGCACCUGCUGCCCACAGCGUCUGUAUUUGGUGCUGGGAUGCUGAGGACACUGAGAUCUUCAAACAGAGGCUGCCACUCUAAGCAAACAGAUCCCGAGCCCUGGACUCUGAAGCUUGGGCCCAGUUCUCCUUUUCUCCGGGUUUCAGAUCCCACUGUGAAGUGAGGGGGCCCUUCUGAUUCAGGACCCGGGGAAGCCAGGGGCAUGAGCAUCGGUGCCUCUUCUCUAUUUCAAGGACCCUUCUGGGUGUAAAGUUCUCUGAGAUGCCUUACAUGGAUUCCCACCACUGCAAGAUAACCAUCGUAUGUAAAGUGUUAUGACCAGCAGAGCGUAAUUGAAGUGCAUUCCAGAGGGAAAGACAGCGGCUCAGAUUCUAUUGAAAGAAACAUGACAUAAUGAUACCACAGCAAAAGCCAAUCUUGCUCCUUUUUAAAAAAUUAAAAACAAAACAAAACAAAAUUAAAAAACAAGAAAAAACACCACCAUAGGAUGUCCACCCUGGGAGACUAAUUCUAAGAGAGAAGCUCUGUUCUUCCACUGCUAAUCACUCCAAAUAAAUACCACGACUGAGCUUGUCGGAGAAGAGAGAGCAGCAACAGCCUUGCCCACAGGUCUUCUCAUCUGCAUGAGAACAAAGUGGAUGGCUCAGAAAGACAGAGACACUCUUCCAUCCAAUAUGAAAUCCCAUCAGAAGUGUAGAGAGGCCUCCAGCUGCAUCCACCUCCAGGCCCCACCCAGCCUCCUGUCCUGAGCCGCUUUGGAUGAGAUCAGGGGCUCAUGAGCCAUGCAAAGCCAGCCCGGCAUUCCUGCCCAGAACAGCCAUGCUUGCAUGUUUCUGUACAUUUCGUCCAUGGUCUUCUUGUCCACAAGUCUUAGCCGGCCUAUUUCCCUUCUCCAGAAACAUAAACAUGGUAUUUGUAAUUUUAUUAUCACCAA